This 430-nucleotide ribosomal RNA is filed under the name uncultured bacterium. RNAcentral describes it as "partial 16S ribosomal RNA". It matches the Rfam family "Bacterial small subunit ribosomal RNA", at positions 29 to 506 of the family's 1533-position model. The record is from RNAcentral.
AACGAACGCUGGCGGCAGGCUUAACACAUGCAAGUCGAGCGCCCCGCCAGGGGAGCGGCAGACGGGUGAGUAACGCGUGGGAACGUACCUUUUGGUUCGGAACAACUCCGGGAAACUGGAGCUAAUACCGGAUAAGCCCUAACGGGGAAAGAUUUAUCGCCGAAAGAUCGGCCCGCGUCUGAUUAGCUAGUUGGUGAGGUAACGGCUCACCAAGGCGACGAUCAGUAGCUGGUCUGAGAGGAUGAUCAGCCACACUGGGACUGAGACACGGCCCAGACUCCUACGGGAGGCAGCAGUGAGGAAUAUUGGACAAUGGGCGCAAGCCUGAUCCAGCCAUGCCGCGUGAGUGAUGAAGGCCUUAGGGUUGUAAAGCUCUUUUGUCCGGGAAGAUAAGGACUGUACCGGAAGAAUAAGCCCCGGCUAACUUCGU